This is a long non-coding RNA of Nomia melanderi (Alkali bee), 2341 nucleotides long. RefSeq lists it as uncharacterized. Lineage: Eukaryota; Metazoa; Arthropoda; Insecta; Hymenoptera; Halictidae. The record is from RefSeq and is a predicted model, not a curated record.
CUCCGCUGGUUCUUUCCGGUUCGAGGCAGCCGUUCACCGAAUCGUCGACGGUGUGGUCCGGACCGGUUCGAACCGGUACGGCCGAGACGUUCCCGACGGCUCUCGCCUCGAUUAGCGCUCGGCAAUUAUUGAAUACCCGGCCGGCCGACGAUAAGGUUCGGCUCCUUUAUUCGAACUUCCUCUCCAAUCGAAACGCAAUUCCGCGACGCGGACCGCCGCUCCCAUGGAGAUCGAACACGUCCGACGGUUCGGCUUGACCUUGACCCGCGCCGGUUCGCGUACGCGGGGAAAAUGUCAUUAUUGUGUGACUGACAGUGAACACUCGUGAACGGAUACGGUGUUAAUGGGAAAAUUGGGACACUGGACGGACGGAGGUUUCUUGUGCGGACGGAGGCCGACAAUAUGGCCGCCGGGAGCGACUGUUGCCGAUCUCGAGCCCCCGAUACAAAGGAACGCGAGGAACGAGGAGUACAAGCGCACCGACGUCACUGGAAUAAUUAAAUGUGGACGUUCACACGGAUGCGAGAGCGAAUUGGCCGGUAAAGGAGUUUAAAAGGGCCAAUGCGCAGGGCCCGGGGGUUUCCUUCCCAGGAAUUAUGGUGCCUGGCCGCGUGGGCUGACCCCUCGGUGUGUUCUGCGGCCGUCUCUCGCGGAAGUCCGCCAUUAAAACAGCUGGAUCGAGCCAGAUCUCGCGAGACGAAUCUAGCCUCUUCACUGUCACGGGUCUGACCUCGGGUCUCGGCACCGGGCCAUCCCUCUUCCGAGUCCCCGGGAGCCUGUUCGGGGAUUCCACGUCCAAUAAAGGCACCCCUGACUCCUGCGGGACGUGUUUACAUCGGGAGAUCAUGCCUAUCCCGCAACGUUGCCCUAGAUAUACACGUCGCCUCUGUACAGGGACUCCACGAACUGCCUGUAAUCCGGGGACUCUAUGACGUGUUGCGGUCCAGCUACUUUUAACCCUUUGCACCCUAAAGGUGACUCUGUCGCCAUUCGAUUUGACAUAGGAAAAUUGUAAAGCUUUACAGACAAUAUUAACCCUUUGCACUCGAGAGCCUUGCAGUCGCCGUUCGAUUUGACCCAAGAAAAUAAAAUCAAUACAAAAUCAAUAGGAAAUAAUGAAAUCUCAAAUUCAAUAUUACAUUGUCUGUAACGUAUCAACACGUGGAACGUCGGAAUGAAAUAGUUCUGUCACGUAAUUUAUGCAAGGUAUUUCUUUAUGUUUUAGUGUUACUUUGUAAAAUCCAUUCGAGAGAACCGAGAUUUAAGUUGUAACGAAACAAAAAAUUGAAGAUUAAUAAAGAUUGAAGAAACAGAUGGAUCGAGUUCACUCGUCUGUUGCAUUUAUUCGAUCUCUGAUCGAUUCCUGUACGUCUUUCGUCUACUCGCCGAAGGAAUCGUUAGAAACAAUAAUAUCUUGAAUAUAGUGGCUUCCACUGAAUCGUAUUAUACUGAUAUUUCAAGGUAAAUUAUCUUUGAAUCAUUGUCACAGGCAUUCAAUCCCUCGCCUUGAGAUAUCAGUUGGUUUAACCCUUUGCGGACGAAUGUCGACGAAUGAUUUAAUUAUUCAAACAGUAAGAGAUCAGCAUAUAGCGUCUGUUUUUCCUAUUAUUUAGGCAACUGAUACAUCCUUCAGUUUCGUCUGCCGAAGAUCUCGUGUACUUCAACGAAUCUUCGACCGCAAAGGGUUAAUCCUGCUUACCAGAAUGUUCGACUCCCGAAAAUCACACGGCUAACAGAUCAAGAUACCACAACGACAUCCAGGAAUAUCCCGCGAUAAUUCUAGCAGUCUGAACGGAAGACAACGGGAUCGUAACAUGAAUUCCGGAAGGCGUGGCAGCGGCGGCAAAGCUACUGGCUUCCUCACUGCCGCCGAAACAGAAGCUGUGGACCAUUCUCAACGAACAGCGGAUGGAUUUUUACAUAUUACUCUCUAGAGGUUCUUCUAAUAAAAAUAUUUACUCGGCUAGAAAUUUCAGAUGUAACAUUUGAAAUUUGAAACUUACAGCGCAUAUAAAAAUCCAAAGGCUGAUGCAGUUGCGUCGAAUCAUCUGCUUAACCCUUUGCGUAUGUCGACGUUUUGUCGAGGUCAAACCUUAUUUGGAAUACAGAAUUGCGAACGAAUGAUUUAAUAACAAACAGCAAGGGAUCAGUACCUAGUUUCCUUUUUGUCUAUUAUCUAAGCAUUCAUACCUAAUUUCGCAGAAUCUGCAGGAGGUUUUGUAUAUUUUAACCCUUUGCACUCGGAAGCUUCUCGCAAGAAAUAUUCAACAUAGGUAAAUUAAAAAACAAAGCUAUUUUAUAUAAAUGUUUCAUAUAUUGAUGCAUUAUACGAAACAUAAUA